GACGAAACGCGAAGGAGAAGAAGAAAGGAGAAGAAAAAAAAAAAAAAGAAAGAAAAAGAUUUAGCCGUCCGAUUCCAAUUCCGACUUGGGUGUACGUUGGAGGAGAUUUGGGUGAAGUUAUAAAAUCCAGAAAGUAUCGGUAGGAGGUACGCAUGGCACCUCCGGGACAGGGGACGUCUCGGGAGAUAGAAAGACGGGCUGAAUGAGUGAACUGCAUCUGAUGUAUUAUAUGUAAAUUCUAACUAGAAAAACCUCCCGUUUUGGGAGUAUGUUUUUGUAAAUAUUUAUAAACUUGUUUUUUGGAAAUAAUAAAAUGCUUAUAUAAUUAAUUUUAGCCUUAACACUGUGUUGUGGGGCCCGAAGUAGGAGGUGACGACCUCAUGAUGCAGUGUGGCGGUAGCAUUUCCAGUAUGAGCCAACUGGGGGUGUUACAAGUAAAGUAGAGAAUUGAUAAAAUUUUCCAGAGUGUCUUUGAAAAAGCUUGCCCGUGAUCAUUUCAGUAUAAGCUUUUCCUUGACAUCCGGCCUACAAUGACAGGGAAGAAAAAUCGCAGUGAUAGUGAACGUAACAC
This is a long non-coding RNA of Andrographis paniculata, 571 nucleotides long. RefSeq lists it as uncharacterized. The record is from RefSeq and is a predicted model, not a curated record. NCBI's taxonomy places the organism in Eukaryota, Viridiplantae, Streptophyta, Magnoliopsida, Lamiales, Acanthaceae. The transcript is spliced from 4 exons.